UACGUAGGAUGCAAGCGUUAUCUGGAUUCAUUGGGUUUAAAGGGUGCGUAGGCGGCCUGAUAAGUCAGUGGUGAAAUCUCCUCGCUUAACGAGGAAACUGCCAUUGAUACUGUCGGGCUUGAGUACAGAUGCUGUGGGCGGAAUAUGACAUGUAGUGGUGAAAUACAUAGAGAUGUCAUAGAACACCGAUUGCGAAGGCAGCUCACAAAACUGUAACUGACGCUGAGGCACGAAAGUGCGGGGAUCAAACAGG
Molecule: ribosomal RNA, 253 nt
Filed under: uncultured bacterium
Lineage: Bacteria
Description: partial 16S ribosomal RNA
Rfam family: Bacterial small subunit ribosomal RNA
Source: RNAcentral